UGAAGAACGCAGCGAAAUGCGAUACGCAAUGCGAAUUGCAGAACCGCGAGUCAUCAGAUCUUUGAACGCAAGUGGCGACGGUUUCGACCGUCAUGUUUGUUUCAGUG
RNAcentral lists this ribosomal RNA (107 nucleotides) under Epicarchesium abrae. Its description in RNAcentral is "5.8S ribosomal RNA". It matches the Rfam family "5.8S ribosomal RNA", at positions 37 to 151 of the family's 154-position model. Rfam says of the family: 5.8S ribosomal RNA (5.8S rRNA) is a component of the large subunit of the eukaryotic ribosome. It is transcribed by RNA polymerase I as part of the 45S precursor that also contains 18S and 28S rRNA. Functionally, it is thought that 5.8S rRNA may be involved in ribosome translocation. Lineage: Eukaryota; Ciliophora; Oligohymenophorea; Sessilida; Vorticellidae. The record is from RNAcentral.